ACAAGAAUUCAAGGCAGAGAAUAUGGUCCAUUAGGUGAAUUAAUAACAUAGCUUGGGGUUUAAUAUGAGGGCUAAAAAAAGGUCCAAAGGGAUACAGGUGUCUUCUCCAUCAACAUGUCCAAAAGUUGAGGAAACUACCCCCGGUAUAUCAAACACAAAAUGAAGGAUCCGACCAUAAUCCAAGGUUCAGAUCCACUGUUUCCGUAGAUGGUGUGAGCUACACAUCGUCAAGCACAUUUCAACUUCGUAAGAUUGCCGAGUUGGAUGUUUCAAGAAUUGCAUAUACUGCCAUAACGCA
Long non-coding RNA from Helianthus annuus (common sunflower), 298 nucleotides. RefSeq lists it as uncharacterized. NCBI's taxonomy places the organism in Eukaryota, Viridiplantae, Streptophyta, Magnoliopsida, Asterales, Asteraceae. The record is from RefSeq and is a predicted model, not a curated record. The transcript has 3 exons.